CUAUCAAUAACCCCAAAACCACCGACCAUUAAAUAACAAACCAUUUUUCCCCCCAAGUAUGGGCGACAGAAAAGGAUGACCCCUGAGCCAUAAAAAAGUACCGCAAGGGAACGCUGAAAAAGAAAUGAAAUAAAUCAGUAAAGUUAAAAAAAGCAGAGACUUACACUCGUACCUUUUGCAUCAUGACUUAGCUAGUAAAAAUCAAGCAAAAGGCACUUUAGUUUGACUUCCCGAAACUAAGUGAGCUACCCCAAGACAGCCUAAAAGUAGGGCUAACCCGUCUCUGUGGCAAAAGAGUGGGAUGAUCUUAGGGUAGAGGUGACAAACCUAUCGAACUUAGUCAUAGCUGGUUGCCUAAGAAAUGAAUAGGAGUUCAGCUUUUUGGUUUUUCUUCCCAAAUUUAUUUUAUUUGCACUGACUCAGAAAACACCAAAAAAGUUAAUUAAAGGGGGUACAGCUCCUUUAAAAAAGAUACAACUUCAUCAGCCGGGUAAGGAUCAUAAUUAUUAAGGCAAAAAUGUUUUAGUGGGCCUGAAAGCAGCCACCUACAAGAAAGCGUUAAAGCUCCUUCAUACCUCCGCCGUCAAUUUAGAUAACAAUAUCCCAAACCUCUAAUUUUAUUAGGCCUCCCCAUGCCCACAUGGGGGCGAUUCUGCUAAUAUGAGUAAUAAGAAAAAUUCAGUUUUUCUCCUUGCAUGCGUGUAAAUCGAAACGGACCACCCACCGAAUUUUAUCGGCCCCAAAAAGAGGGUAAUGAGCCACCAACCCAAAUAACAAGAAAAAUACCCAGAAGUUAACCGUUAACCCCACACUGGUGUGCCUACAAGGAAAGACUAAAAGAAAAAGAAGGAACUCGGCAAAUACAAGCCUCGCCUGUUUACCAAAAACACCGCCUCUUGUAUACAAUAAGAGGUCA
This 916-nucleotide ribosomal RNA is filed under the name Betta sp. SL-2013c. Its description in RNAcentral is "partial 16S ribosomal RNA". The stretch from base 151 to 916 matches the Rfam family "Bacterial large subunit ribosomal RNA", at positions 568 to 1843 of the family's 2925-position model. The record is from RNAcentral. Lineage: Eukaryota; Metazoa; Chordata; Actinopteri; Anabantiformes; Osphronemidae.